CUUAAGCAUAUCAAUAAGCGGAGGAAAAGAAACCAACAGGGAUUGCCCUAGUAACGGCGAGUGAAGCGGCAACAGCUCAAAUUUGAAAUCUGGCGCAAGCCCGAGUUGUAAUUUGUAGAGGAUGCUUCUAGGUAGCGACCGGUCUAAGUUCCUUGGAACAGGACGUCAUAGAGGGUGAGAAUCCCGUAUGUGACCGGCCCGCACCUUCUACGUAGCUCCUUCGACGAGUCGAGUUGUUUGGGAAUGCAGCUCUAAAUGGGAGGUAAAUUUCUUCUAAAGCUAAAUACCGGCCAGAGACCGAUAGCGCACAAGUAGAGUGAUCGAAAGAUGAAAAGCACUUUGGAAAGAGAGUUAAAAAGCACGUGAAAUUGUUGAAAGGGAAGCGCUCACAACCAGACUUCUGGGCGGCGUUCCGCCGGUCUUCUGACCGGUCCACUCGCCGUCCCGAGGCCAACAUCAUCUGGGACCGCCGGAUAAGACCUCAGGAAUGUAGCUUCCCUCGGGAAGUGUUAUAGCCUGUGGUGAUGCGGCGCGUCUCGGGUGAGGUCCGCGCUUCGGCAAGGAUGUUGGCGUAAUGGUUGUCAGCGGCCCGUCUUGAAACACGGACCAAGGAGUCUAACAUCUAUGCGAGUGUUCGGGUGUCAAACCCCUACGCGGAAUGAAAGUGAACGGAGGUGGGAAGCGCAAGCUGCACCAUCGACCGAUCCUGAUGUCCUCGGAUGGAUUUGAGUAAGAGCAUAGCUGUUGGGACCCGAAAGAUGGUGAACUAUGCCUGAAUAGGGUGAAGCCAGAGGAAACUCUGGUGGAGGCUCGCAGCGGUUCUGACGUGCAAAUCGAUCGUCAAAUUUGGGUAUAGGGGCGAAAGACUAAUCGAACCAU
RNAcentral lists this ribosomal RNA (879 nucleotides) under Ramularia acris. RNAcentral describes it as "eukaryotic LSU rRNA". It matches the Rfam family "Eukaryotic large subunit ribosomal RNA", at positions 33 to 943 of the family's 3401-position model. Lineage: Eukaryota; Fungi; Ascomycota; Dothideomycetes; Mycosphaerellales; Mycosphaerellaceae. The record is from RNAcentral.